CUCUAGCUAGUCUAGCAGUGAAGACUCCUGAUUUUCACCCAGGCUGCCCAGGUUCAGUUCCUGAGCAGAGA
Non-coding RNA from Sus scrofa (pig), 71 nucleotides. The record is from Rfam. Lineage: Eukaryota; Metazoa; Chordata; Mammalia; Artiodactyla; Suidae.